GUGGGGAAUAUUGGACAAUGGGGGGAACCCUGAUCCAGCCAUGCCGCGUGUGUGAAGAAGGCCUUUUGGUUGUAAAGCACUUUAAGCGAGGAGGAGGCUACCGAGAUUAAUACUCUUGGAUAGUGGACGUUACUCGCAGAAUAAGCACCGGCUAACUCUGUGCCAGCAGCCGCGGUAAUACAGAGGGUGCGAGCGUUAAUCGGAUUUACUGGGCGUAAAGCGUGCGUAGGCGGCUUUUUAAGUCGGAUGUGAAAUCCCUGAGCUUAACUUAGGAAUUGCAUUCGAUACUGGGAAGCUAGAGUAUGGGAGAGGAUGGUAGAAUUCCAGGUGUAGCGGUGAAAUGCGUAGAGAUCUGGAGGAAUACCGAUGGCGAAGGCAGCCAUCUGGCCUAAUGCUGACGCUGAGGUACGAAAGCAUGGGGAGCAAACAGGAUUAGAUACCCGUGUAGUCC
Molecule: ribosomal RNA, 451 nt
Filed under: uncultured bacterium
Lineage: Bacteria
Description: partial 16S ribosomal RNA
Rfam family: Bacterial small subunit ribosomal RNA
Source: RNAcentral